Molecule: transfer RNA, 72 nt
Filed under: Reticulibacter mediterranei
Lineage: Bacteria; Bacillati; Chloroflexota; Ktedonobacteria; Ktedonobacterales; Reticulibacteraceae
Rfam family: tRNA
About the family: Transfer RNA (tRNA) molecules are approximately 80 nucleotides in length.
Source: Rfam by way of RNAcentral
GGUGGCAUAGCUCAACGGUAGAGCGUCCGCCUUUUAAGCGGGGGAGUGCAGGUUCGAUGCCUGCUGCCACCA